UGUGGUUCUUGGAUGACGCACCCAGAACUGGACUCCUUCCUCUCUGGUUCCGGGUGCAUCACCCAAGAACUGAA
Molecule: non-coding RNA, 74 nt
Organism: Myotis brandtii (Brandt's bat)
Lineage: Eukaryota; Metazoa; Chordata; Mammalia; Chiroptera; Vespertilionidae
Source: Rfam